Molecule: long non-coding RNA, 563 nt
Filed under: Homo sapiens (human)
Lineage: Eukaryota; Metazoa; Chordata; Mammalia; Primates; Hominidae
Description: HSALNT0265297
Source: RNAcentral
AGACUGGGGAACUGCAUUCACAUCCCAUCAGGAAUUUGCGCUCUCCAGGCAUUUUCCUGGAAGAUUCAAACGCGGAACCAAGUUGGAAAGAGAUGAAGACUAAGGAUGGAGAGGAAGAAGCAAGGGUGAGGUCACGGAGCAGGGCCUGAAGCCGGCUCAGCGAGGGAACACCUGCCAGUUCUGCAGAGGAAAUCUGCCGUCAUCAGUUUCUCCAUCAGGCCUUUUGCUCAGAUGUCUUCCAAACAGUGCUUUAAACAUUCAGUCAAAAACUGAGUCAGUCUCAGGCCAGCUUAAAACUAAGCCAAAACUAAAGGUCUGAGAAUAUAAAGAGUGGAAUUGUGGGUUUUGACUAUGAACUAUAAACAGUAAAACAUUUAUAAGCUCCUUUAGAAUAUGCAAUGCUUUACUGAGAUGGCUGUCUACAUUUUUAAUAUUUGGGAGAUAAACUUACAGAGAAAUUUAAUAGAAGGCAUUAUCACUUGAAUGUUGAGCGAAGGCAAUUAUGUAAGGGUUGGGUUGGUAAUUCCUGAUGGAGAGACUCUUUGUCUCAACAAUAAAGGAUC